RNAcentral lists this ribosomal RNA (450 nucleotides) under uncultured bacterium. RNAcentral's name for it is "partial 16S ribosomal RNA". It matches the Rfam family "Bacterial small subunit ribosomal RNA", at positions 354 to 796 of the family's 1533-position model. The record is from RNAcentral.
GUGGGGAAUUUUGGACAAUGGGCGAAAGCCUGAUCCAGCCAUGCCGCGUGCAGGAUGAAGGCCUUCGGGUUGUAAACUGCUUUUGUACGGAACGAAAAGACUCCUUCUAAUAAAGGGGGUCCAUGACGGUACCGUAAGAAUAAGCACCGGCUAACUACGUGCCAGCAGCCGCGGUAAUACGUAGGGUGCAAGCGUUAAUCGGAAUUACUGGGCGUAAAGCGUGCGCAGGCGGUUAUAUAAGACAGAUGUGAAAUCCCCGGGCUCAACCUGGGAACUGCAUUUGUGACUGUAUAGCUAGAGUACGGUAGAGGGAGAUGGAAUUCCGCGUGUAGCAGUGAAAUGCGUAGAUAUGCGGAGGAACACCGAUGGCGAAGGCAAUCCCCUGGACCUGUACUGACGCUCAUGCACGAAAGCGUGGGGAGCAAACAGGAUUAGAAACCCCGGUAGUCC